AAAGAUUAUUUAAAUAUUUACAUCACUUGUAUGUGGGGCUUCAGGUAGAUGGUCAUACACUGAUUGGAGACCAGUUAAAAUAAAGUAUUAUGUUAUAUUUUGGAAGACCCAGUUAUCUAAUUCUAUAGUACUUACCGGGGAAAUUGAUACCUAUGCAGGGUGAUUCAAUCAAUUGGAAACACUCAUUAUCUCGGAAAGUAUUAACUUUUUUCGAAAUUUUUUUUU
Cinara cedri is the source of this 225-nucleotide non-coding RNA. NCBI's taxonomy places the organism in Eukaryota, Metazoa, Arthropoda, Insecta, Hemiptera, Aphididae. The record is from the annotation of a GenBank genome assembly.